Long non-coding RNA from Melospiza melodia melodia, 1069 nucleotides. RefSeq lists it as uncharacterized. The transcript has 3 exons. The record is from RefSeq and is a predicted model, not a curated record. Lineage: Eukaryota; Metazoa; Chordata; Aves; Passeriformes; Passerellidae.
UAACACAGCCAGUCUUCGCAAGGAGGCCUUGCUGCACCUCCUCAUACUGGUGUGUGGUGAGAGAGCCAUCCCCCACAGCCCUGCUCUCAGCCUGCAGCUCAGCAUUUUUGUCCCUGCAUCCUUUCUGCUCAAUAGGGAAGCUCAAGAAUCUUGCCCAUGGAGUUCUGGGCCUCUCUGCUGCUCCAGGUCAUCUCUUGCCUAAGAAGAGCCGAAUAGCACAUCUCUGCAGAACCCAGGUCAUGGAGGACCUACUGACAGGAGAUUAACCAGCAGUUUAAUGCAAGCUUGUCAGUGGGGGUAGGCAGGAAAUCAGAAAUCUUUCUUGCAUGACCACGGGCUCAAAUAGAAAAAAUUGCUCUGGAUAAAUGAAUCAGGCUUUCAAAUGGCUACACAUGUGAAGCUGCUAACCAACAUGAAACUGCCAUAAGAUGGGCUGUAGGGGGAUCAUCAAGGCAAGAUGCACCCCAGUGUAAGGCAAGGUGAUGGAUUCCUGUGCUGCUGGAAGUCUUUUGCCUUGGACUGCAUGAUGGAGACACAGAGCUGCUGAAGAGCCAAUGGCUCUGUCCUCUCUGGGCUUGUGCCCAGAAGGAGACCCAGCGCUGGCACUGUGGCACAGGGGGGUGAAAACCCUGUCCCUUUGUGGCAUCACUCUGAAGACAACUCGAUUUCACAGCACCUCCCAACCGUGAUCCAUCUGUAACCUUCAAGGAUGCAUCACAGCACAGUUGUGAGCGGGACAGAAUAGCAGCUUGGAGGGGCAGUGUCUGACAUUGGAGGGACUGCUGCAGCACAUGAAGCCUUGGAAACCUCCAGCAGGGACCCUGAAUCUGAUCAGAAACACCUGAACUCACACUUAACAGAAAGAGGACUUCAGCAGGGAAGCACAGAGAGGAAAACAGCUUUGUGUUAACAUUUCCAGAGGCUGAAGAGAAGCUGCAAGGAUCUGUGCCAGGCUUUCACCUCAGCUCUCUCUUGCCUCUUCCCACCUUUUCUCCUUUCCUCCACCAUCCUUUCUGUUCCCUCCAUCCACAUGGUUUGAAAUAGCAAUGUUGCUUUUUCUUGCAUUUUU